CUCGUAGUUGGAUGUGUGUCUAACGGCGUCGGUUCACCGCUCGCGGUGUAACUGGCGCGCCAGUUGGACGUCCUGCCGGUGGCGGUCUGGGCUUUCGGCUAUGUGUAGGUUCGCCGAAGCAUGCCGUUAGUUCCAGCCGCCGAUUCAAUCCCGCCGCGGUGCUCUUAACUGAGUGUCGAGGUGGGCCGGCACGUUUACUUUGAACAAAUUAGAGUGCUUAAAGCAGGCUGGUGUCCGCCUGAAUACUGUGUGCAUGGAAUAAUGGAAUAGGACUUCGGUUCUAUUUUGUUGGUUUUAAGAAUCCGAAGUAAUGAUUAAUAGGGACAGGCGGGGGCAUUCGUAUUGCGACGUUAGAGGUGAAAUUCUUGGAUCGUCGCAAGACGUACCUAAGCGAAAGCAUUUGCCAAGUAUGUCCUCGUUAAUCAAGAACGAAAGUUAGAGGUUCGAAGGCGAUCAGAUACCGCCCUAGUUCUAACCAUAAACGAUGCCAGCCAGCGAUCCGCCAAAGUUCCUCCGAUGACUUGGCGGGCAGCUUCCGGGAAACCAAAGCUUUUGGGUUCCGGGGGAAGUAUGGUUGCAAAGCUGAAACUUAAAGGAAUUGACGGAAGGGCACCACCAGGAGUGGAGCCUGCGGCUUAAUUUGACUCAACACGGGAAACCUCACCAGGCCCGGACACCAGAAGGAUUGACAGAUUGAUAGCUCUUUCUUGAUUUGGUGGGUGGUGGUGCAUGGCCGUUCUUAGUUGGUGGAGCGAUUUGUCUGGUUAAUUCCGAUAACGAACGAGACUCUAGCCUACUAACUAGGCGUCUCCGGUAUCCACAAUAGUGCUACCGGCGAAUAAAUUUCUUCUUAGAGGGACAGGCGGCUUCUAGCCGCACGAGACUGAGCAAUAACAGGUCUGUGAUGCCCUUAGAUGUCCUGGGCCGCACGCGCGCUACACUGAAGGAAUCAGCGUGUCUUCCCUGGCCGAAAGGUCCGGGUAACCCGUUGAACCUCCUUCGUGCUAGGGAUUGGGGCUUGCAAUUGUUCCCCAUGAACGAGGAAUUCCCAGUAAGCGUGAGUCAUAAGCUCACGUUGAUUACGUCCCUGCCCUUUGUACACACCGCCCGUCGCUACUACCGAUUGAAUGAUUUAGUGAGGUCUUCGGACUGGUGCGCGGCGAUCGCCUCGUGUGGUCGCCGAUGUUGCCGGGAAGAUGACCAAACUUGAUCAUUUAGAGGAAGUAAAAGUCGUAAC
Molecule: ribosomal RNA, 1237 nt
Filed under: Carynota mera
Lineage: Eukaryota; Metazoa; Arthropoda; Insecta; Hemiptera; Membracidae
Description: SSU rRNA
Rfam family: Eukaryotic small subunit ribosomal RNA
Source: RNAcentral